RNAcentral lists this ribosomal RNA (253 nucleotides) under uncultured bacterium. RNAcentral describes it as "partial 16S ribosomal RNA". It matches the Rfam family "Bacterial small subunit ribosomal RNA", at positions 524 to 776 of the family's 1533-position model. The record is from RNAcentral.
UACGUAGGGGGCAAGCGUUGUCCGGAAUUAUUGGGCGUAAAGAGCUCGUAGGCGGUUUGUCGCGUCUGCUGUGAAAAUCCAGGGCUUAACCCUGGACCUGCAGUGGGUACGGGCAGACUAGAGUGCGGUAGGGGAGAUCGGAAUUCCUGGUGUAGCGGUGAAAUGCGCAGAUAUCAGGAGGAACACCGGUGGCGAAGGCGGAUCUCUGGGCCGUAACUGACGCUGAGGUGCGAAAGCGUGGGGAGCAAACAGG